CAUGUCUGUUCCUGCUGGACAAUAAAUUCAUAAAUGAGGAAACUAAGGCUCAGAAAGGGUAAGUGAUUUGCCCGAGGUCAGACAGUUAGUGUCUGAGGCAAGAUUUGAACUCAGGUCUUUCUAGCUCCCAUCUAGCACUACCUGUUCCACUGUACCUACUAUUUCUAUAAGUUUUUAAAAGCCUAGAAUCAAAUUUACACUUGAUAUAAUUAGCAAAGAACCAUCAUCUUCUAUACAAUAUGUUUUCAAGCUGUUUUCUCUAAUGCAGUGAGUUCUGAUUUGGAGAAUUCUUGGCAUAAAAUAGUUCUCCCUGCAGGCCAGAUUACCUACUCAUACCUAGCUCUUGCAACUGUGGAAAUUUUUUCUUGGAACUUUACUUGUAAGUAUUUUUCAUUUACUGUAAUAUACUAUUAGAGUUGAAAGGGAUCUUUGGAAGUCCAACUCCCUCAUUUUGACUGAGCUAGGUCUGGAACCCAGGUGGUCUCUUAUCUACUAGCCCCACACCACACCAUAACAUUUUCAUAGUCAAGUGGCUGCAGCAGAAUUCAUGUUUCACUUUUUUUUUUUAGCGGGGAUGGCACAUUCUCUCAUGCCUCAACAGUAAUCAAAGAACAAUGCAGCCUGAUUGUCUGCUCAUCACCAUGAAUGUGGAGCCAGCCAUCAGAAGGGAGAGCUUUCUAGUUGCCUUGGUCUGGAGAGGAGAGCUGUCCAAAUCUGUGUCCCAGAAGCCACCUUCUGAGAUACUACCUCAACAUGGCACACUGAAUAUACAUCAGCAUAAAGUCGGUCAGCCAGGCAAUAAACAUUUAUCAAACACCAUGAGCCAAGUAAGAAAGAGCUUGCCUAAUGGAAAAGGAUCCAGGAUCCUUCAAGGCAUCCUAUACAAUGUGGUGCUUUGAUCCCCUGGAGAGGAAAUGCCUCCAGUUCUUGUAUGGAGGGUGUGUAGGAAAUGAAAACAGAUUUCUCACCAGAAGGGAGUGUUAUCAGAGAUGUGCUCCAAAAUCAGCUGACAACAGCCUGUUCUGGGAUGAGGAUGAAGAAAUUAACAUUGGUCUUAUUGUGGGGAUCAUCGUGGGAUGUGUGUCAAUAAUUGUUUUGCUUGUGACACUGACUGUGGUCUUCUUGAAGAAGAAGAAGAAGAAGAAGAAGAAGAAGAAGAAGAAGAAGAAAAAGUAAGGAAAGUGCCAUUGCACAGAGCUUUGGGGGAUGGGGUGUGACUUGACUGUGGAGAGGAAGAGGGGAGGAAAGCAUUCUAGGUAUGCUCAGUGCUGGAG
Molecule: long non-coding RNA, 1274 nt
Filed under: Phascolarctos cinereus (koala)
Lineage: Eukaryota; Metazoa; Chordata; Mammalia; Diprotodontia; Phascolarctidae
Description: lncRNA (ENSPCIG00000031901.1)
Source: RNAcentral